CAGAAUUCAGAGGAAUAAUUUAGCUUGGCAUGAGACUUCAGAACCAUUUACAGCAGCAGUGGACAGAAGUAGCUGCAGCACAUAUAUAAAUAACCAUUUGUGUGGAAAACAGUUUUCUUCUACUUUGUUUCUUUGUUUUGUUUCCUCUUACUAAUAGACUUCCUCUUGUUUCUGCUUAGCUCAACUAUUUUGUGCUUCUGUCGGUGGCUUUGCACAGGUGCCAGCCAGUACUGAAGGCAUGAACUGCUGAGUUCUUUCCAGGAGCAUACUUGUGGGUGCCCAGAUACUGGGUAUAUUCAGGAACUGGCUGUGUUCUCACUGUAGUACUUACAAAUGUAUCGGAAUCUGCUGAAGCCAACAUUCAGAAAAAAUAUGGAACUACCCAAGAAAUUUACCCAAUGAAAGAGACCCUCAGAUUUUGUACUAGUGUUUUCAGUUCUCGGAUCAAUGCUGCAGUGAUUCAUGUACCUGGCUAACAGCCUAGAAGAAAAUUUUGCAAAAUAAAUGAAGGAGAAGAAUCUGUGAAUGAGUCUUUCUGAAAUUUUGAGAAAUUCUGGAAGAACAGAGCGCCAAAAUCUGUGCUAAAUGUUCAGAGUGGGAACAAGUUCUUGGACCUGUCUUGAACUGAAAAUGAAGAGGAAAUAUACACCGUGUGGAUCCAUAUCUGACAAAAUUCAUGGAAGAGCCUUGGGUUUUGUGGCAGCUGCAUUUCAUGGUUUUCUGCAAAACCACCUGGAAAACAUCCGUCGUCUGAAAGUGAUAUUCUUAAGAGUGCCUUGCAGACUCAGAUUUGCAGGUUGCUGA
Molecule: long non-coding RNA, 804 nt
Organism: Apteryx owenii (little spotted kiwi)
Lineage: Eukaryota; Metazoa; Chordata; Aves; Apterygiformes; Apterygidae
Source: Ensembl